UACGUAGGGGGCUAGCGUUGUCCGGAUUUAUUGGGCGUAAAGAGCGUGUAGGCGGCCAGGUAGGUCUGGUGUGAAAACUCGAGGCUUAACCUCGAGAUGUCAUCGGAAACCAUUUGGCUAGAGUCCGGAAGAGGAGAGUGGAAUUCCCGGUGUAGCGGUGAAAUGCGCAGAUAUCGGGAAGAACACCCGUGGCGAAGGCGGCUCUCUGGGACGGUACUGACGCUGAGACGCGAAAGCGUGGGGAGCGAACAGG
Molecule: ribosomal RNA, 253 nt
Filed under: uncultured bacterium
Lineage: Bacteria
Description: partial 16S ribosomal RNA
Rfam family: Bacterial small subunit ribosomal RNA
Source: RNAcentral